CCUGGGAGCAGAAGUUGUCUGACUUUGCAUUUUGAGAAUUGCCUGGGCUUAGCCAAGAGUCCUGAUCUGGGUCUGAUUUUGUUCUCAGAGGUCUCCUAAUGACCAUGGCCUGGAGGGCUCCUUUUCAAGAAUAAGUCAUGAAGGAACAGCUUCAAAUUCCCAGUCUCAGAGAAGCAGGGUCAAAGGUAUCACAGAAAAGGGCAGUGAAAGCCAUUUAGUAAUUGGCUCAUUACUGUCAUCUUCCAUUCAGAUCAACUCUCUGCCUUGGGACCCGUCCUUUCAGGCAUGAAUUGGAUUUUGGAAAGGAUUACCCAGAACUGAAGUGGUUUGCAAACCAUCACUGUGGGGGGAUCCUGCCAGUCACAUGACAUCUUGGAGAUGUUCACCUGUCAACUGGCUCAGUUGAUAUUUGCUCUGGUGUCUUCCAAUUUGACUUACUUGUCCUGAGCUUUUUUUGUUUUAAUGUGCUUUGGGUUCUGCCUUGUUUCUAUCUUUUUAGAAAAUAGGUUACAAAAUUCACAUCAUCUUUUUUUCCACUCUGCACCAUCUUUCGCACUUUUUGGACACUGGAGCAGUGGGGAAUGUAGUAGACAUUCAAUAAAUAAUUGUUCAAUGAUGAAGAUAUUGAUGAUACUCAAUAAAAUUUCAAAUGCUUUAUAUUAA
Molecule: long non-coding RNA, 663 nt
Organism: Mesocricetus auratus (golden hamster)
Lineage: Eukaryota; Metazoa; Chordata; Mammalia; Rodentia; Cricetidae
Exons: 3
Source: RefSeq, a predicted model, not a curated record